UUUUAGUGACUUAAAGAAAUUGGCAAACCAUGUUUAAAUCAGAUGAAGGAGGGUGUCAUUUCUUUCCAGUCCACAGCGGAUCCUCUCGUGUCACCUUGAUGCGCAGCAUAUCGGAGCAUCCACAGACAGCCAUUACUGCGGAUCUGCUGUCCUCUCAUUCACAGCAGCAGCAGCAGCAGCAUCACCAGCGUACAGUAUUGCAGUAAAACAAAUCAGGAUCAAAGAAGGAACUCAUUCCGCAAUUAUCCACCCAGACACUACUGUUCUUCGGGUGUGAACACCAAUUCAGAUUUUUGAUGCUGAACUUACACUGAGCCUGGCGUCUGGGUCUCUAGUUGUGGAAGCAUUGAGGCGGGACCCUCAGCUCCAGUGCCAGUUGUAUUCUGUGGUCAUUUCCUAACCUAGAGACCCU
Molecule: long non-coding RNA, 412 nt
Filed under: Astyanax mexicanus (Mexican tetra)
Lineage: Eukaryota; Metazoa; Chordata; Actinopteri; Characiformes; Acestrorhamphidae
Description: lncRNA (ENSAMXG00005018991.1)
Source: RNAcentral